RNAcentral lists this transfer RNA (72 nucleotides) under Camelus bactrianus (Bactrian camel). It matches the Rfam family "tRNA". Rfam says of the family: Transfer RNA (tRNA) molecules are approximately 80 nucleotides in length. RNAcentral also lists the same sequence under 2 other names. Lineage: Eukaryota; Metazoa; Chordata; Mammalia; Artiodactyla; Camelidae. The record is from Rfam by way of RNAcentral.
GAGGGUAUAGCUCAGUGGUAGAACACAUGCUUAGCAUGCAUGAGGUCCUGGGUUCAAUCCCCAGUACCUCCA